This 93-nucleotide transfer RNA is filed under the name bacterium. RNAcentral's name for it is "tRNA-Ser". It matches the Rfam family "tRNA". From Rfam's summary of the family: Transfer RNA (tRNA) molecules are approximately 80 nucleotides in length. Their secondary structure includes four short double-helical elements and three loops (D, anti-codon, and T loops). Further hydrogen bonds mediate the characteristic L-shaped molecular structure. tRNAs have two regions of fundamental functional importance: the anti-codon, which is responsible for specific mRNA codon recognition, and the 3' end, to which the tRNAs corresponding amino acid is attached (by aminoacyl-tRNA synthetases). tRNAs cope with the degeneracy of the genetic code in two manners: having more than one tRNA (with a specific anti-codon) for a particular amino acid; and 'wobble' base-pairing, i.e. permitting non-standard base-pairing at the 3rd anti-codon position. The record is from RNAcentral. RNAcentral also lists the same sequence under 2 other names.
GGAGAGAUGGCCGAGCGGCUGAAGGCAACGGUUUGCUAAACCGUCCUACGGGGUCAACUCGUAGCGAGGGUUCGAAUCCCUCUCUCUCCGCCA